This is a transfer RNA of 87 nucleotides. It matches the Rfam family "tRNA". Rfam says of the family: Transfer RNA (tRNA) molecules are approximately 80 nucleotides in length. Their secondary structure includes four short double-helical elements and three loops (D, anti-codon, and T loops).
GGGUAGGUAGUCCCGUAGGGGCCGGGGGCGGUCUGUAAAACCGUUGGCGCAAUGCCCGCGUGGGUUCGACUCCCACCCUGCCCACCA